GGUUGGGCGAUCGGGCUGUGACAUCUGUCACCCCAUUGAUCGCCAGGGCUGAUUCAGCUGAUCUGGCUGGCUAGUAGUCCCCUUCCUCCCUCACCCCUCCAUAUGCAUCCCUCCCAGUUAAAGAGGAGACCUAGUGGAGGACCAGCCUUAGGUCAAGGGUAUAUGGAUAGCUGCGCUUCCCUGCUAGAACCUCCAAACAAUCUCUCAAAGUCCAUAAUACAGUUUUUAAUUUAUUAAAAAUUAUUAAGGGAAAAAGGAGGUAUUAUGAAAUUUAUGAAAGGGAAAAGAUAACAGGCAAAUCUAAGGAGUUACAGAUGAUUACAAGUACUGUGAAGGCUUCCUU
RNAcentral lists this small nuclear RNA (343 nucleotides) under Mesocricetus auratus (golden hamster). RNAcentral describes it as "7SK RNA". The stretch from base 1 to 247 matches the Rfam family "7SK RNA". Rfam says of the family: 7SK was discovered as an abundant small nuclear RNA in the mid-70s but a possible function has only recently been suggested. Two independent studies have found that 7SK RNA binds the CDK9/cyclin T complex (known as elongation factor P-TEFb). Lineage: Eukaryota; Metazoa; Chordata; Mammalia; Rodentia; Cricetidae. The record is from Rfam by way of RNAcentral.